Molecule: non-coding RNA, 102 nt
Filed under: Neobacillus bataviensis
Lineage: Bacteria; Bacillati; Bacillota; Bacilli; Caryophanales; Bacillaceae
Also listed under: 1 other name
Description: Bacillus bataviensis Guanine sequence
Rfam family: Purine riboswitch aptamer
About the family: Riboswitches are metabolite binding domains within certain messenger RNAs that serve as precision sensors for their corresponding targets. Allosteric rearrangement of mRNA structure is mediated by ligand binding, and this results in modulation of gene expression.
Source: RNAcentral
AAUUCAAUAGAACGUUUUCUUCAUAUAUCCUCGAAAAUAUGGUUCGAGAGUCUCUACCGGGCUGCCAUAAAUGGCCUGACUAUGAAGGCAGAGUUUUUUCUG